RNAcentral lists this ribosomal RNA (252 nucleotides) under uncultured prokaryote. RNAcentral describes it as "partial 16S ribosomal RNA". It matches the Rfam family "Bacterial small subunit ribosomal RNA", at positions 525 to 777 of the family's 1533-position model. The record is from RNAcentral.
ACGUAGGGUGCAAGCGUUAAUCGGAAUUACUGGGCGUAAAGCGUGCGCAGGCGGUUGUGUAAGACAGAUGUGAAAUCCCCGGGCUCAACCUGGGAACUGCAUUUGUGACUGCACAGCUGGAGUGCGGCAGAGGGGGGUGGAAUUCCACGUGUAGCAGUGAAAUGCGUAGAGAUGUGGAGGAACACCGAUGGCGAAGGCAGCCCCCUGGGCUGAGAUUGACGCUCAGGCACGAAAGCGUGGGAGCAAACAGGA